Tyto alba (common barn owl) is the source of this 4204-nucleotide long non-coding RNA. RefSeq lists it as uncharacterized. The transcript is spliced from 5 exons. The record is from RefSeq and is a predicted model, not a curated record. Lineage: Eukaryota; Metazoa; Chordata; Aves; Strigiformes; Tytonidae.
CCCCCCCCCCCCCCCCCCAGGAAAGGGCAGCCCCCGCGCCCCGCCCGCCCCUGCCCUCCGCCGACACGGCGCAAAGCGGAGGCUCCGCGCCGUUCCGCGCCCCUCCGCGCCCCGCGACGGGGCUCCCGCCGCGCCCCCCCCCCCCCCGCCUUCCCCCACGCGUGUGAGGAGCGUGCGGGCGGGGACCCACUCACCCCGCCACUGACGGUGCCUCUUUUCCUCUAUCCCCCCCCCCCGCCUCUCUUUUCCUAAAAAAAAAAAAAAAAACCCAAAAAAACCCAACAAACCAAACCCACCCACCACCCCCCCAAACCCCCCAGUCAUUUGCAUACCGUUUGGCACCCUCGCUCGGUAUUCCCCCCGACUCCCCCCGCACUCGUUUUAUCCCCCCUCCGCCCCCGUCCAGACCGACCCUUCCCGCCCCCCCCCCCCCCCCCCCCCCCCCCCCGCAUCCCGGGUGCAACCGGAUGACAAAAAUCAAAGCUGGUUCCAAUUUACCCCCGUUGUCUUCCUUUGAACACCCAUAAGGCUCACUCUGUUCUCCAGUCUUGUUACGUGGAUUUCUCUCUCUCCAAAUAAUUCCUCAGCAUCCCCUUGAAUGGCAUCUACCACACAUAACUUUUCCAACCCACAAGGCUGAAACAACUUCCCACAACUGAAAUGACUCUAGCACAGCUAUUCCCUAGAAGACAUCCUCCCUGACUUCUUGCGGGGCCUGCGAGAUGACCAAAGUUGCAGGCAGGGCUGUAAGGCACACCCUCCUAGCAUGAAUAUGACUGCUGCCUCCAGGGUUCCCACACAGGAUUGGAGGAGAAAGGAUUUCUCCAGCUCUAGAAAGAGACAUGAACAGCCACCAGUCUGAAAAGCCUCCUAGUCUUUCCGGAUCCUCUGAAGACCCGGCGUAGGAAUCCACACCUACCCUGAUAAUCCGUCAGUAGGUCAGACAGCCCCUCACUUCCCAUAUGUAGACGUUCAGUGAUGCUCUGCAGUUACUCUGAGAAUAAUAGGACUCCUUCCUGGCUGCCUCUUAGCGGGCACUGGCGCAGGUCAAUCCUAAAUGCCUUGAUUUUGACAGAGGCCAAUACCAGACAAAAUGAAAGGACAGUCUCCCUCCUCACUGCGCGUUUAACAGUGGUAACAGUUUACCAUGGACGAAGAUGCCUUCCUGACCCUGUCUAUUGACUGACAUAUGUCAAGUACUGCUGGGAUGAUUAGACAUUAUUACAUAAUACAAGCUAGUAAAACUGUCACAGAUUUUUUUAAGGCCAAAGACUUAAUUUGGAGCUGCCACCAUCCUCGGAGAUGUCAGAAAUGUUGUUCAGCUGUACCCCCUUCCUGAUGAAACAUGCAUUUACACGCCGUUCAACUAGGACCGUGCACACGUGCAAGUGGUACCUGAGGUCUGUGGUCUCCUGUUUACCGUACGCCUCCACUCCAGGUCAGGGGAAGACCCCUUGGAAAAUGAGGCACUUGACUGCAGAGGGUGAGGAUCUCACUCUGGUGUCACAGCUGGGUGUUAUGCCUUCAUCAGGGUAUUAGAAAAGGCUCAGGGAAAACAGUUAUAUCUAUUCUAUUGCCUAAGACACUUCCUGCAGCUACCGCCUUUCCUUAGAGUUACUAAUCCCAGCUCUGACCCUGCCUGACCCUACUUAUCUUGUAAAAGCUGACAAGAUCACAGCCCGAAGCAGUAUAGCCACAGGCUCAAUACUGGCUACCAAAAUGUCUGUUUAGUAUUUUCGAGAAACGCUGCUCUAAAGAUUUACAAUACCAGCUGCUAGAUAUAUGGACAACACCAACACACAGCCCUGACCCUUGAACAUUCAGCCUCACUUACACAGAAAUUUGUGCCUCUCAAGGGGCCAACACUGAGCUGCCACAAAAUAGUGAUUCCCUACCUGCAAGUGAGCUGGAAUUUAGGCAUCAUAUGAUUAUAUACACUCAGAUAUUGGGUAAAAUUAUUUGAAAACUACAGUCUUGAGUUCAGAAUUCAUUGUUAUUUUCUUUCAUCUGUUUCAUUACCGCUUUAGCAGUGGAAAGAGAUCUUCCAUUUCUGUGUAAUAUAUAAGUUUUUUUUUUUUUUAGUUUAGUAUAAAGAAUUGUCUUAAUUCUUCCGUGACCAAAGCAGUUUUUCAUCAGAAGUUAUUUUUAGACAAACUGUAAGUUUCUUCUCUAGCAAACAUUUUAGCUCCACUUUAUGAAAGCAAAUGCACAUUUUACCAGAUAUCUCUAAGGAUAAACACAGGUUUAAAUAUCCAAGAAAUAUUAAGGGACCAAUCAGGUUUAAUUGUAUAUACAGUCAUACACAGCAUACAUUAAUAGUUUUCGCAGAGUAGGUUUUUUUUUUUGUUGAUGUUGUUGUUUUUUUUUUGUUUGUUUGUUUGUUUGUUUGUUUUGUUUGUUUGUUUUGGUUUGGUUUGGUUUUUUUUGAUUGAUUUUCUUUUCAGAACAGUGAAGACAUAGAAAAGGCAUUGAGGUCCUAUUGCUCCUGUCGGAAACUUCUCCUGACUACAGCAUGAGUUGGAUUGGGCCCAGAGAAACCAAAUACACACAAGUAACAAUAAGUUGGCCAUACAAGCAAGGAAAAUCACAGAUAACAGGUGCACACAAAUUAGCAACGUACCUUUUAGGUCAUCCAGUACAGCUCCCUGACACCGUGAGAUUGUUUCCUAUGGCAUAUUUUCAGUUGUUUUGUGUGCCUAGAUUAAAUGUCCUAAGUGAUGCCAUGUCCCUAGGGAGAGAUUGUGCUGCCUAGAGUAUCUUGUUGUCAGAAGUUUUUUUUCCUUUCUUAACAUUGUCAUAUUUCUCCUAGUUAUGUCCCUUUGCAAAUCUCCUUUUCCUUUAUAGACGUUAUUUUCCUCCAGCAUCUUUUAACUAGUGUAAUUUUGUGUUUAAUUAGCAUUAGGCCAACCCCCAGCUAUUCAGCUCAUUUAAGCUUCCCUAAUAAAUCAGUCCUUUCAGUCUCCUGGUUUUUCUUCCUCUCCUCUUUUCACGGUCCUGCCUGUCAGUAUCUUUUUUAGUUAUGAGAUUUUAGAGAUGUGAUGUGUUUCUCUGAACUAAUGACAGGUCUGGUAUAGAGCUGAGCACCCUCAAUGUCUACUCACUGAAAAACCUUCCUGAUGUGCCCAGGGGAAAGCUGCUGGUGCUCUGGACAGACACGCAGGUAGAGUACCCUGCUCAAACAACGUCCUUGGUGCCUCUUACUCUAUUGGCCAACAAAACCCUAUUAACACAGUUAACCUAGUAGUUCAAAAAACAGAUACAUGUCAUUAUGGACUUUUUUUUUUUUUUAUUUCUCACGGUGUUAGGAGAUAGACUAGCGCAGAUAAAAAUACGUUUGUUGAUGUUGUUGAGAUUUUCUAACUCUUGGUCAUGGGCAUCACAGUCUAAAAUUAUGGAAGACGUCAUCUUUUAUAACUAUAUCUGAGUGCUAGGAGAGUACAUUGUAGAAAGUAAUUACAUACAUAGUCACAAGCCUAGCUGUUCAUUUUAGGCAAUAAAUUCUGAUCAACAAACAACACUCUCUUAGUGCUAAAUGAGAUCUUGGUUGCAAUUGAAUGUCUUUACCUUUGUGUUCUGUUGGAUUGGAGGAAUAUCAUUUUAAUCUGCUCUCUUUAAAUUUUCAUUAAGGAAUGUUUCAUCUACCUGCAGCCUCAUCUGAUGAUGUUUAAUGAUAUCAGCUAGCUCGGUCUUCCGUGCACCAGCAGGGGCUUCUUUAAAUUGGUCAACUGUAUGGAACAUUGUUUUCACAUUUAAUGUACUUGGAAUCAACCUUUUAAAAUAAUGACAUCUCUAAAGACAGUUUAUAUUCAUAGUGCACACACAUACAUGCAUGCAUUUAUAUGUGCAUGUGUGUGUGUAUGCAUAUGUGUAUAUAUGUAAGUGCACACAUACGUACAAAAAUGCUGAUCCUAUUCACCUUCUUGAAACCAUUUCAGCUGGUAUUAACAUAAAUGUGCUGUUAAAUUGGCAGUGUUAUACAUUUUUGUUGGAGUUUACUUCUGUAACAUAAAAUCAGAAAGAUAAGCUGUGAAACUCAUGCAGCUGAUGACAUAAUGCUAGGAUCUCGUGAUGCUGAAUCUCAUAUUUCGGGGCAUGUGGGAUGGAAGUUUCUUGCUGAAAUAAUUAUACUGCCUAUUGCAAUAUAUGUUUCCUUUUUUUCAUGUGGGCACUGAGAUGUCCAAACCAUUAAACAUAUAUGGCAUAA